RNAcentral lists this ribosomal RNA (438 nucleotides) under uncultured bacterium. RNAcentral describes it as "partial 16S ribosomal RNA". It matches the Rfam family "Bacterial small subunit ribosomal RNA", at positions 354 to 784 of the family's 1533-position model. The record is from RNAcentral.
UGGGGGAAUAUUGGACAAUGGGCGCAAGCCUGAUCCAGCAAUGCCGCGUGUGUGAAGAAGGCCUUCGGUUGUAAAGCACUUUUAUCAGGAGCGAAACGCUGUCGGCUAAUACCCGGCGGAACUGACGGUACCUGAGGAAUAAGCACCGGCUAACUUCGUGCCAGCAGCCGCGGUAAUACGAAGGGUGCAAGCGUUAAUCGGAAUUACUGGGCGUAAAGCGUGGCGUAGGCGGUUUCUUAAGUCUGCUGUGAAAUCCCCGGGCUCAACCUGGGAAUGGCAGUGGAUACUGGGAGGCUAGAGUGUGUCAGAGGGUGGUGGAAUUCCCGGUGUAGCGGUGAAAUGCGUAGAGAUCGGGAGGAACAUCAGUGGCGAAGGCGGCCACCUGGGACAACACUGACGCUGAGGCACGAAAGCGUGGGGAGCAAACAGGAUUAGAUA